Molecule: ribosomal RNA, 253 nt
Filed under: uncultured bacterium
Lineage: Bacteria
Description: partial 16S ribosomal RNA
Rfam family: Bacterial small subunit ribosomal RNA
Source: RNAcentral
UACAGAGGGUGCAAGCGUUGCUCGGAAUCAUUGGGCGUAAAGGGUAGGUAGGUGGUCUCAUUUGUCUGGGGUGAAAGCCUUGAGCUUAACUCAAGAAGUGCCCCGGAAACGGUGAGACUGGAGUCCUAGAGAGGCUAGCGGAAUUCCCGGUGUAGCGGUGAAAUGCGUAGAGAUCGGAAGGAACACCUGUGGCGAAAGCGGCUCACUGGACCAUAACUGACGCUGAGGCGCGAAAGCUAGGGGAGCAAACAGG